AUUGAACGCAGGCGGCAUGCUUAACACAUGCAAGUCGAACGGUAACAGGUCUAGCUUGCUAGAUGCUGACGAGUGGCGGACGGGUGAGUAACGCGUGGGAAUCUGCCUUCUAGUGGGGGAUAGCCCGGAGAAAUCCGGAUUAAUACCGCAUACGCCCUACCGGGGAAGGACCGGGGAGUCUUCGGACCUGGCGCUAGUAGAUGAGCCCGCGUGAGAUUAGCUUGUUGGUGGGGUAAGUGGCCUACCAAGGCAACGAUCUCUAGCUGGUCUGAGAGGACGAUCAGCCACACUGGGACUGAGACACGGCCCAGACUCCUACGGGAGGCAGCAGUGGGGAAUAUUGGACAAUGGGCGAAAGCCUGAUCCAGCAAUGCCGCGUGUGUGAAGAAGGCCUGAGGGUUGUAAAGCACUUUCAAUCGUGAAGAAAAGUUGCAGGCUAAUACCCUNUGACCUUGACGUUAACGAUACAAGAAGCACCGG
This 480-nucleotide ribosomal RNA is filed under the name uncultured bacterium. RNAcentral's name for it is "bacterial SSU rRNA". It matches the Rfam family "Bacterial small subunit ribosomal RNA", at positions 30 to 496 of the family's 1533-position model. The record is from RNAcentral.